UUUACAAGGUGUCCUAUUCUAGACUAAUCCUUGGGUCUGUGAUCCGGCCCCUCUUCACACAGUCCGGUUAAUCGCAGGAUGUGCCUCCAACUGGCCAGGGUCCGAGCGCUCCCCACCUGGUCUGACAAAGUGCCAAGCAAGCCAAUCCAAGUUGCACCUUACCUUCCAAGAAUAAUCCUUGCCUUCCAAGUUCCCACUUGCCUUCCAAGAAUAAAUCCUUGCCUUCCAAAUGUUCCCUUGUCUUCCAAGAAUAAAUCCUUGCCUUCCAAGAGUCCCAUGUUUCGAACUCACGACCUCUGCUCUGCCAGGUUUGACAGCGUCCGUCCUUUGCCAGUGGAGAAGUGCCCUGAGGGGCAACAACACUUCGUAUUUAUUCAUAGGAAAUGAUGACAGACAACACUUCGUAUUUAUUUCGUCACGUCAACUCUGUCUCUUUCCUAUCAAAUUUCCGUGGGUAACUUAAUUCAUCUGUAAGGGUGAUAAUGUCUGAAAAUAUUCAACUUUUUCUAACUAUUAUUAUUAAUUAUUUUUGUUUUGAGAUGACAAGAUAAUUUUACAGUUGUUGUCACGCAUGUUUCAGUAAUGAAUGCUCAAGAUAUAUAUACCCCA
RNAcentral lists this long non-coding RNA (609 nucleotides) under Olea europaea subsp. europaea. The record is from RNAcentral. Lineage: Eukaryota; Viridiplantae; Streptophyta; Magnoliopsida; Lamiales; Oleaceae.